Molecule: transfer RNA, 75 nt
Filed under: Dictyocaulus viviparus (bovine lungworm)
Lineage: Eukaryota; Metazoa; Nematoda; Chromadorea; Rhabditida; Metastrongylidae
Rfam family: tRNA
About the family: Transfer RNA (tRNA) molecules are approximately 80 nucleotides in length. Their secondary structure includes four short double-helical elements and three loops (D, anti-codon, and T loops).
Source: Rfam by way of RNAcentral
GCCUCGGUAGUGUAAUAGAUAAGCACAGCAGACCGGAAAUCUGUAGACGUGUGGGUUCGAGUCCCGCCUGAGGUG